RNAcentral lists this unclassified non-coding RNA (231 nucleotides) under Hevea brasiliensis (rubber tree). The record is from RNAcentral. Lineage: Eukaryota; Viridiplantae; Streptophyta; Magnoliopsida; Malpighiales; Euphorbiaceae.
UGCAGCAGCAUCAAAGAAGGCCAUGAUAAUAAAAUAGACUAAGAAAAUAUAAUCAGUAAUAAGAAGGAUGAGAAGCAGGAGCAUAGUGCAUACAAAACUAAGGUUCUCAAAUUUCAAAAGAUAUUUAACUUCAUUAUCCUCUACAAAGUCUAAUGAAUGCAUUGCCAAUAUAUUUUACACAACAAACAAAAAUCUCUACUUAUUGGAACCCAUUUUUCUUUUUUUUUUUUU